RNAcentral lists this ribosomal RNA (491 nucleotides) under uncultured bacterium. RNAcentral's name for it is "partial 16S ribosomal RNA". It matches the Rfam family "Bacterial small subunit ribosomal RNA", at positions 29 to 507 of the family's 1533-position model. The record is from RNAcentral.
AGUGAACGCUGGCGGUAGGCCUAACACAUGCAAGUCGAACGGCAGCACAGUAAGAGCUUGCUCUUACGGGUGGCGAGUGGCGGACGGGUGAGGAAUACAUCGGAAUCUACUUUUUCUGGGGGAUAACGUAGGGAAACUUACGCUAAUAACGCAUACGACCUACGGGGGAAAGCAGGGGAUCUUCGGACCUUGCGCGAUUGAAUGAGCCGAUGUCGGAUUAGCUAGUUGGCGGGGUAAAGGCCCACCAAGGCGACGAUCCGUAGCUGGUCUGAGAGGAUGAUCAGCCACACUGGAACUGAGACACGGUCCAGACUCCUACGGGAGGCAGCAGUGGGGAAUAUUGGACAAUGGGCGCAAGCCUGAUCCAGCCAUACCGCGUGGGUGAAGAAGGCCUUCGGGUUGUAAAGCCCUUUUGUUGGGAAAGAAAAGCAGCAGGUUAAUACCCCGCUGUUCUGACGGUACCCAAAGAAUAAGCACCGGCUAACUUCGUG